AGAGCAGAAGGAGAGCUUGUUAGUCUGGAUGUGAGUGUGGGAGGGAGAUGGUUUUACUGUAGGUGCUCUGCUCGUGUAGAAGGUUAUCACCACAAAUUCCUUUUUUCCCUGCGUGGAGCUAUGAAUAUUAAAUAUCUAAGCAUCUGUGGCUAAGACCAGCAGCAAUAAGAAUUAAAUAGCAAAGACUCCAAGGCAACAUGAAGCAAUGAACAUUCCUCACUUUAAAAACCUUGCAGAGCAGAAGCCUUCCAAUGAGAAUUGAUGCAGAAGCUGGACUGCAAACAUGCCUUCAUGAUAAAGUGUCUCCAAAACUGACUGCAUCUUGGCUUUAAGGAAUUGACUGUGUUUGAUCUCCAAGAGUGUUUAAAGAGGAUAAUUGGCUGAUUCAGAGGAUGGGAGCAUCCUGAGUUCGGUGGUGCUGUGCAAGAGGAGAACUUGCCUGAUGACACUUUCUACCGCCCCUUGCUGCUUGUGAUCCUUUGGACCAGGUUAUGGGUGAGAACUCCCCACAGCCAGCGUUGGUGUAUGAUGCUGUGGAGCAGGGCCACACACUCAGCAUAGGUCUGCCUUGCAGCACAAAAUUAUGUUAGUCAGGUGAACCCAUGUUCAAACCCAUGCUGCAGAAGGGAAUUUAAUGGGCUUGGAGAAAAAGCAAAGUCAGACCAGUUUAGUUUUUCCCAUGCAAAAUGUAUGGCAAUAAACUGAGUGUGGCUUUCUGGUAGGAAUAGCAAUUCAUUGUUUACUGAUCCAAGUAAGAAACAUUUGCGUUUCUUUGUUAUUCUAUGGACAAUACUGAUCUCCUUCAAAGGUGGCUGGAGCUUGUGUGGCAAUCUUUGCUUGUUUGUCCUCUACACCUCUAGAUCCUGAUUGAAAAGAGAUGUAAAAUGUUCUGUUUCCUUCUCACUUGCCUUCAGAUUUGUGCAUAUUUAAUCCAGACUUUUUAAUAAAAUGUAUUUGUAUGGUG
This is a long non-coding RNA of Pogoniulus pusillus (Red-fronted tinkerbird), 964 nucleotides long. RefSeq lists it as uncharacterized. NCBI's taxonomy places the organism in Eukaryota, Metazoa, Chordata, Aves, Piciformes, Lybiidae. The record is from RefSeq and is a predicted model, not a curated record. The transcript is spliced from 4 exons.